Molecule: ribosomal RNA, 459 nt
Filed under: uncultured bacterium
Lineage: Bacteria
Description: partial 16S ribosomal RNA
Rfam family: Bacterial small subunit ribosomal RNA
Source: RNAcentral
CCUACGGGAGGCAGCAGUGAGGAAUAUUGGUCAAUGGCCGCAGGGCUGAACCAGCCAAGUCGCGUGAGGGAUGACGGUCCUAUGGAUUGUAAACCUCUUUUGUCAGGGAGCAAAGGGCGCCACGUGUGGCGUUUUGAGAGUACCAGAAGAAAAAGCAUCGGCUAACUCCGUGCCAGCAGCCGCGGUAAGAUGGAGGAUGCGAGCGUUAGUCGGAUUUAUUGGGUUUAAAGGGUGCGCAGGCGGAAUGCCAAGUCAGCGGUAAAAGUUCGGGGCUCAACCCCGUCGUGCCGUUGAAAGUGGCGUUCUUGAGUGAGCGAGAAGUAUGCGGAAUGCGUGGUGUAGCGGUGAAAUGCAUAGAUAUCACGCAGAACUCCGAUUGCGAAGGCGGCAUACCGGCGCUCAACUGACGCUCAUGCACGAAAGCGUGGGUAUCGAACAGGAUUAGAUACCCCAGUAGUC